UUGUAUCAUGAUUCCCGUAAGAAACAUUGUUCCGCUGAAGAAAUUAGCAGGUGGAAUCUUGCGUGACGCCAACAAAAGUGAUGACGCAUUUUUUAUUAUUAAGCGACUUCCUUUCAUUCAUCCUGAGUUCAAUCACGAACACAUUCUUAAAAGGAAACACGGACUUUAUUUGGUCUAAUUUAAAUAUUUACAGACAAGAGCUUUGAGAACGCAACGAGAGCCAUUUUACACUUAACGUUACGCUGUGAUAAUAUUAUUGAAUUAUUAUAACUGUUUUAAGAAUUGAGAAAAUUCAAAAAAUACGAAAACAAAAAGAUAUCGUCAUAAAUGUCUAAUAUAAGCUUAAUGAAUCCUUGCAUGUUAUUUGUCUUGAAUCGCUAAACUAUAAACUUUUUUGAAGUGAAACUUCUUUAUCGGCGUUGGAAAAAAAUUUACCGUCACAUUUUUCGGUUACGCGUCACAUUUUUCCGUUACGCGCCAUCUUUUUUGUAUUCAUGUCUAUGAUAAUAAAAUCCUUUUGUUUAAACUUUAUCUAAUUUAACUUUAUUUAACCAAUUUCUAGAAAGUUGCAUGUAGAUCAUUUUUCGAAAAAUAAGGCCAUAAAAAAGUUUCACUUCUUACGUGUGUACACUAGUACACGCACACAUUUUUUUUUUGUAUUCAUGUCUAUGAUAAUAAAAUCCUUUUGUUUAAACUUUAUCUAAUUUAACUUUAUUUAACCAAUUUCUAGAAAGUUGCAUGUAGAUCAUUUUUCGAAAAAUAAGGCCAUAAAGAAGUUUCACUUCUUACGUGUGUACACUAGUACACGCACACAUUUUUUUCAUAUUUCAGUUACCAUAAGCCAUUAAUUACAAAAAUAUAUAAUGACAAUGACAAUGAUAGUAAUAAUUCUAUUACAAUUAAUGAAAUGCUGUAAUAAUCUUAGUAGCAAAAAGGUAAAGUGAAAUAAUUGUAUUAUUUGUAUUCAUGUCUAUGAUAAUAAAAUCCUUUUGUUUAAACUUUA
Long non-coding RNA from Bombyx mori (domestic silkworm), 1003 nucleotides. RefSeq lists it as uncharacterized. NCBI's taxonomy places the organism in Eukaryota, Metazoa, Arthropoda, Insecta, Lepidoptera, Bombycidae. The record is from RefSeq and is a predicted model, not a curated record. The transcript has 2 exons.